Molecule: long non-coding RNA, 406 nt
Organism: Patella vulgata (common limpet)
Lineage: Eukaryota; Metazoa; Mollusca; Gastropoda; Patellidae
Exons: 4
Source: RefSeq, a predicted model, not a curated record
AUCAUUUGAACAGCUUCAAUGACUUUAUGCAGUUCGAUUAAUACAGCAGUAAACAGAAGCCAGUUUAUGAAAUUAUUAGAUUUGAGAAGUUUGGAACUGUAGGAAAAAUACAAAAGGACAGAUAACCCUGAAUCUCAAACUGCAUCUAAAAUGGACCAUUUAGACACCGAAGAUGAUGAUAAAGGCGAAGAUGAGGAUGGAUGUGAUGAAUGUGAUGGAUACAGCAUAUCAAAUUUUUAUAAGGAACAAAAUAGUGAAACCAAAUGGAUUAAAGCCCACAUGAAAAAGAAUUGUAAAGGACACCAAUACCUCCAUCCGUUGUACGCGGGAAAACUAAGCUUCAGUCAUUUUGGAUCGCACCGCCUCCGCAGUCGUAAUCCAAUGUGUACUUGUGGAAAACGCAUGA